UAUCUUUAUAGAGCGUCGCAAUGACUCUCGGCAACGGAUAUCUCGGCUCUCGCAUCGAUGAAGAACGUAGCGAAAUGCGAUACUUGGUGUGAAUUGCAGAAUCCCGUGAACCAUCGAGUCUUUGAACGCAAGUUGCGCCCGAAGCCGUUUGGCCGAGGGCACGUCUGCCUGGGCGU
Molecule: ribosomal RNA, 176 nt
Filed under: Boehmeria zollingeriana var. blinii
Lineage: Eukaryota; Viridiplantae; Streptophyta; Magnoliopsida; Rosales; Urticaceae
Description: 5.8S ribosomal RNA
Rfam family: 5.8S ribosomal RNA (bases 23-176)
About the family: 5.8S ribosomal RNA (5.8S rRNA) is a component of the large subunit of the eukaryotic ribosome. It is transcribed by RNA polymerase I as part of the 45S precursor that also contains 18S and 28S rRNA.
Source: RNAcentral